GUAGAGUUCAAUUCAGCAAGAUUCACACUAUAAACUGUUGUAUGAUUGAUUUGAGAACGUUUUACAACCUGACAACACUUCGGCAACACUUCGUUGCACAAGCCGGAAAGUUACAAAUGAUGAAAGUUUGAAAGCUAUAUAUAGAUAGUGACCCUUCCGUUUGAAACUCUUCAAACGGACAGGACAUUUCAAACUAAACCCUAUUUCAAACUUUCAGCUGCUUCAAACUUUCAACUGCUUCAAACUUUCAGCUUCAAACUUUCAGCUUCAAGUGUAGUAAACCGAGACUUGAUAUAAGACGAAGACGAAAGACGGAUGCACUAACAUGGUUCUUAUGGAUGGAAGUCGUCAAGGUUUCAAGAUCCAUUAUGGAUGCAAUCUAAAGAAGGCGAAGUUCAAUAAAGAACCUUUAUUAGCAAAGUUUAGGCUUCUUAAACCUUUUUUAAAGCCAUUUCUUGGUCUUGAACGUCACAAAGGAUCAAUUUCUUCUGUUAGCAUCUAAUGGUCUAUGGGACCGUCUUAGCAACGAGGAAGUUGUUUAUAUUUUCUACAAUUAUCCACGAAGCGUUGUUCGUCUAGCAUUUAUACUCAUCCACCUUCUUAAUAAUCGUAACACCACGGGAACCGAUUGUUAGUUUAGUAGUAUUUACAUCUAUGUAUAAUUUACUAAGUUAAUAUUUAUGUCAGCGGUUAUAAUGAAGAUAUUUU
Helianthus annuus (common sunflower) is the source of this 708-nucleotide long non-coding RNA. RefSeq lists it as uncharacterized. The transcript is spliced from 3 exons. The record is from RefSeq and is a predicted model, not a curated record. NCBI's taxonomy places the organism in Eukaryota, Viridiplantae, Streptophyta, Magnoliopsida, Asterales, Asteraceae.